UGCCAGACUAUAAUGACAGCAUAGUUCAGAUGAGACAAUUUUGAUUACAAUACGGAAUACAUCUUUCGCUCCUAUCUGAUUCGAUUU
Molecule: small nucleolar RNA, 87 nt
Organism: Cylas formicarius (sweet potato weevil)
Lineage: Eukaryota; Metazoa; Arthropoda; Insecta; Coleoptera; Brentidae
Product: small nucleolar RNA snR60/Z15/Z230/Z193/J17
Exons: 1
Source: RefSeq, a predicted model, not a curated record